Molecule: ribosomal RNA, 253 nt
Filed under: uncultured bacterium
Lineage: Bacteria
Description: partial 16S ribosomal RNA
Rfam family: Bacterial small subunit ribosomal RNA
Source: RNAcentral
UACGAAGGGGGCUAGCGUUGUUCGGAAUUACUGGGCGUAAAGCGCACGUAGGCGGAAUGUUAAGUCAGGGGUGAAAUCCCGGGGCUCAACCCCGGAACUGCCUUUGAUACUGGCAUUCUCGAGUCCGGAAGAGGUGAGUGGAAUUCCGAGUGUAGAGGUGAAAUUCGUAGAUAUUCGGAGGAACGCCAGUGGCGAAGGCGGCUCACUGGUCCGGUACUGACGCUGAGGCACGAAAGCGUGGGGAGCGAACAGG